Long non-coding RNA from Chrysemys picta bellii (western painted turtle), 938 nucleotides. RefSeq lists it as uncharacterized. The record is from RefSeq and is a predicted model, not a curated record. Lineage: Eukaryota; Metazoa; Chordata; Testudines; Emydidae.
UACAACAGGAAGGAAACAGAUAUUUAUGUUGGAUCCUCACUUGCUUUCCCUGCACUUGUACACUGAUCUCCUCAACAGAGUUUGGCAUUGUUGCUUCAUCUGAGCUGUUCCUGCAGCCUGGCUUUGCUAAUGAAAGGCCCAGCUCUGCUCUCGCGACACAGCAUGCACUUUUCCUUGGUGUAACCUGAAUGCAGUGCUUCCAGAGCACUCUGUGAAACAGUUUGCAGGGCUGCGCUUGUUGUAUAUCUGCACUAGGGCAGAGGUUCUCAACCAGGGGUACGUGUACCCCUAGGGGUACGCAGAGGUCUUCCACAGGAUACUUCAACUCAUCUAGAUAUUUGCCUAGUUUUACAACGGGCUACAUAGAAAGCACUAGCGAACCUUCGCUGGUCAGUUAUGAGGUUCAACUGGAAGAGGUGGUGAUGCAGCCAUUGUUCCCAUUCAUUUCUGACAUUUGAGCCCGCCAGACGCAUUACAUCUGGAGCAACAAAGGCUGGAGGCAGAAAAAAUAACACUGUGGGUGAGACAGCUCUCUGUCUUGGAUGAUCGAUGCAGGAACAACAGAGCUUGACUGUUUGAUGGCCUCUGACUCACCCGUACUGAUGUGUCCUAUACGGGGCAGGCAUUCCUUGGGCUGGUGCAGGUCACUGAAAAACAUGUGGUAAGAGGCUGCAGUCCAUCACCUAGGUCAGAGAGGGGAACAAACACAGACUCUCUGUGCUGUGCUGCCAAUCAAGAGAGAGGUAAGGGAAUCAUUGUCUACUGAUGCCUUGUCUCAGGAGACCUCCAUACCCGCUAUUUAGUCUUAAUCACCUUUAAAAUGAGGCUGUAGAAGACCAUGGUGCUAAAUAAAUGGGACAUUUUCCACAAAUGAGGUUGGAUUCAUAUCAUAGCAUGCUGGAUUUCGUGAGUAACACAAAUUCUUCAGACAUAUUAAA